This 468-nucleotide ribosomal RNA is filed under the name uncultured bacterium. RNAcentral's name for it is "partial 16S ribosomal RNA". It matches the Rfam family "Bacterial small subunit ribosomal RNA", at positions 28 to 507 of the family's 1533-position model. The record is from RNAcentral.
GACGAACGCUGGCGGCGUGCUUAACACAUGCAAGUCGAACGGAAAGGCUCUGCUUUUGUGGGGUGCUCAAGUGGCGAACGGGUGAGUAACACGUGAGUAACCUGCCCUUGACUUUGGGAUAACUUCAGGAAACUGGGGCUAAUACCGGAUAGGAGCUCCUGCGGCAUGGUGGGGGUUGGAAAGUUUCGGCGGGUGGGGAUGGACUCGCGGCUUAUCAGCUUGUUGGUGGGGUAGUGGCUUACCAAGGCUUUGACGGGUAGCCGGCCUGAGAGGGUGACCGGCCACAUUGGGACUGAGAUACGGCCCAGACUCCUACGGGAGGCAGCAGUGGGGAAUAUUGCACAAUGGGCGGAAGCCUGAUGCAGCAACGCCGCGUGCGGGAUGACGGCCUUCGGGUUGUAAACCGCUUGCGCCUGUGACGAAGCGUGAGUGACGGUAAUGGGUAAAGAAGCACCGGCUAACUACGUG